GGGAGUCAGGGUGGUCUGACUGUGACAUCUGUCACCCCAUUGAUCUCCAGGGGUUGGUGGAGCUGGCCUGGCUGCCUCAAUAGCUGUCCCCUUCCUCCCUCACAAUGCCAUGUGUGUCCUUCCUGAAACUGUGCACUCAGUCAAAGAGGAAGGUCUUCCCUGGUUGACACUUAGAUCAAAAGUGGGUGAGUAGCUGCACUGCUAGAACCUUCAAAUAAGCAGCCAAGGCUCACGGUGCUCUGAGGAUUUCGCCAUUUCUUGCUUACUCGCAGAGCUCUCAGAAUAUCUAAAGCCAUGACUGGGAUCCUAU
Molecule: unclassified non-coding RNA, 310 nt
Organism: Mesocricetus auratus (golden hamster)
Lineage: Eukaryota; Metazoa; Chordata; Mammalia; Rodentia; Cricetidae
Gene: 7SK
Rfam family: 7SK RNA
About the family: 7SK was discovered as an abundant small nuclear RNA in the mid-70s but a possible function has only recently been suggested. Two independent studies have found that 7SK RNA binds the CDK9/cyclin T complex (known as elongation factor P-TEFb).
Source: Ensembl